This is a non-coding RNA of Xyrichtys novacula (pearly razorfish), 472 nucleotides long. Lineage: Eukaryota; Metazoa; Chordata; Actinopteri; Labriformes; Labridae. The record is from the annotation of a GenBank genome assembly.
AAAAAAAUGAGGGCUUGCUCUUUUUCUUAUUUCUCUGCAGGAUCAAGGAUGCUGUUGACAGUGGAGGAAUUGAUGCUGUCUUUUCUAAGACACAGAUCAAGGUUGCUUUUGAAUGCACUAUCAGUUGUUAAAGCCACCGUUUCUUUUUCAGAUGAUUACAUUUUUGUCUCUUGCUCUUUGGUUUCAGACAUUACACGAUGAUCUACUCUCUGGAAAGAUCCGCUCCAACAGGAUGUUUCUUUGGAGGAAUCCCGCCACCUCACUCCGGCUAAAGCAGCAUCUAAAGAUAAGGUCACUAAGUUGGAGUGAGCAGCGCGUAAGUAAAAAUGCCAUCCAUCAUGAGUAUUUUUACUCUCAGAGGUAUUACAUUUGAAAGCUGUUUACUUUCUGUGUUUUUCUUCAAUAGAUGUUCGAGCUCCUGCGGUUUAUUGAGGAGGCAACAACCAUAUCAGAAAAAAUCAAAAGAGGCGAG